AUUUUGGACAAUGGGCGAAAGCCUGAUCCAGCAAUGCCGCGUGCAGGAUGAAGGCCUUCGGGUUGUAAACUGCUUUUGUACGGAACGAAAAGUCUCGGGAUAAUACCCUGGGACCAUGACGGUACCGUAAGAAUAAGCACCGGCUAACUACGUGCCAGCAGCCGCGGUAAUACGUAGGGUGCAAGCGUUAAUCGGAAUUACUGGGCGUAAAGCGUGCGCAGGCGGUUAUGUAAGACAGAGGUGAAAUCCCCGGGCUCAACCUGGGAAUGGCCUUUGUGACUGCAUAGCUAGAGUACGGUAGAGGGGGAUGGAAUUCCGCGUGUAGCAGUGAAAUGCGUAGAUAUGCGGAGGAACACCGAUGGCGAAGGCAAUCCCCUGGACCUGUACUGACGCUCAUGCACGAAAGCGUGGGGAGCAAAC
This 420-nucleotide ribosomal RNA is filed under the name uncultured bacterium. Its description in RNAcentral is "bacterial SSU rRNA". It matches the Rfam family "Bacterial small subunit ribosomal RNA", at positions 361 to 773 of the family's 1533-position model. The record is from RNAcentral.